GCCCCGGACACGGGGUGCGCGAUCGGAUGCGCUGAGAACACACCCGUGGAACCUGAUCUAGUUCGGACUAGCGAAGGGAUGUCCCGGUGACUUCUC
This 96-nucleotide non-coding RNA is filed under the name Acidipropionibacterium acidipropionici. RNAcentral describes it as "TPP sequence". It matches the Rfam family "TPP riboswitch aptamer (THI element)". Rfam says of the family: Vitamin B(1) in its active form thiamin pyrophosphate (TPP) is an essential coenzyme that is synthesised by coupling of pyrimidine and thiazole moieties in bacteria. The previously detected thiamin-regulatory element, thi box was extended, resulting in a new, highly conserved RNA secondary structure, the THI element, which is widely distributed in eubacteria and also occurs in some archaea. The record is from RNAcentral. Lineage: Bacteria; Bacillati; Actinomycetota; Actinomycetes; Propionibacteriales; Propionibacteriaceae.